UGGCGAACGGGUGAGUAACGCGUGAGGAACCUGCCUCAAAGAGGGGGACAACAGUUGGAAACGACUGCUAAUACCGCAUAAGCCCACGGCUCGGCAUCGAGCAGAGGGAAAAGGAACAAUCCGCUUUGAGAUGGCCUCGCGUCCGAUUAGUUAGUUGGUGAGGUAACGGCCCACCAAGGCGACGAUCGGUAGCCGGACUGAGAGGUUGAACGGCCACAUUGGGACUGAGACACGGCCCAG
This 240-nucleotide ribosomal RNA is filed under the name uncultured bacterium. Its description in RNAcentral is "partial 16S ribosomal RNA". It matches the Rfam family "Bacterial small subunit ribosomal RNA", at positions 96 to 334 of the family's 1533-position model. The record is from RNAcentral.